RNAcentral lists this transfer RNA (65 nucleotides) under Neotoma lepida (desert woodrat). It matches the Rfam family "tRNA". Rfam says of the family: Transfer RNA (tRNA) molecules are approximately 80 nucleotides in length. Their secondary structure includes four short double-helical elements and three loops (D, anti-codon, and T loops). Lineage: Eukaryota; Metazoa; Chordata; Mammalia; Rodentia; Cricetidae. The record is from Rfam by way of RNAcentral.
GAUGUAGCUCAGUUGGUAGAGCACUUGCCUGCUAUUCAUGAAGUCCUGAGUUCAUUCUCAACAUC